RNAcentral lists this ribosomal RNA (498 nucleotides) under uncultured bacterium. Its description in RNAcentral is "partial 16S ribosomal RNA". It matches the Rfam family "Bacterial small subunit ribosomal RNA", at positions 29 to 523 of the family's 1533-position model. The record is from RNAcentral.
AUUGAACGCUGGCGGAAUGCUUUACACAUGCAGGUCGAGCGGCAGCGCGGGGCAACCUGGCGGCGAGCGGCGAACGGGUGAGUAAUGUAUCGGAACGUGGCCUGUCGUGGGGGAUAGCCCGGUGAAAACCGGAUUAAUACCGCAUACGAUCGAGAGAUGACAGUGGGGGACCGCAAGGCCCCACGCGAUAGGAGCGGCCGAUAGCUGAUUAGCUAGUUGGUGGGGUAAAGCCCCACCAAGGCUUCGAUCAGUAGCUGGUCUGAGAGGAUGAUCAGCCACACUGGGACUGAGACACGGCCCAGACUCCUACGGGAGGCAGCAGUGGGGAAUUUUGGACAAUGGGGGCAACCCUGAUCCAGCCAUUCCGCGUGAGUGAAGAAGGCCUUCGGGUUGUAAAGCUCUUUUGUCCGGGAAGAAACGGUUUUGGCUAAUAACCAAGACUACUGACGGUACCGGAAGAAUAAGGACCGGCUAACUACGUGCCAGCAGCCGCCGCAG